RNAcentral lists this long non-coding RNA (2657 nucleotides) under Canis lupus familiaris (dog). Its description in RNAcentral is "lncRNA (ENSCAFG00000054778.1)". The record is from RNAcentral. Lineage: Eukaryota; Metazoa; Chordata; Mammalia; Carnivora; Canidae.
CGCGGCUCCCACCGGAGCAAAUGGCCACGUCUGUGGUUUCCUGACAGCCCUUCCCCACAAAUCCCUGUGUUUAAAUUUGAUAACAUUUAAUUAAAAUAGAUGAUUAAUUACUGUCAUUUAAUUUAGAAGAACUUUCUUCUAUCUUAAUGUGUGGGUUUCCCAUGGAAACCACUUCAGCUCGGGCGGCCCUCCACGGCGGCGUUAUUAGCGGAGCCGCCUGCGGGCCUCCCUAGCUUUCCUGACCGUCUGUCGUGCUCUCAUCGCUUCCAGGGCAAACACUGCGUGUUGUGACGAAGGCUCCAGCCAGCCCUUGGGACCGGCGCUGGCGCAGCCGCUCGCUCCCGCCCCCCACCCCGCCCGUCCCCGUCGCCCCAAAGCGGAUCUUUCACCCAGCAGUCGCAUAUCCGUGCCCCAGGAAUCAAACUGGCUACCACGUGGAAGGUGCUGGCAGCACGAUACAUUUUUGUUGUAGAGGGACCAAAGACUACAGGUGGAAGAGGAAGGACCUGCCUUAUCCGGACACGAGACUCACAGUUCUGUUAAUGGAACUGGUGUCCUGCAGUUGACGUGGUAAGAGAACGCCAGCUCCUGGUUGCCCUGCCUGCAACCGGGUUUCCAAGUCAGCCCCACCGCGCGGGGGGCCUCGUGGGCAUCGCCGUGCAGAGGCUGGCUCCAAAGACUCCCUCUGGCUCCGUGGCUGCAGGCACGUCAAGAAUGAAACAGGAUGAACAGGUAUGAAGGCUUUGCUUUUUACUGAAAAUGUGUUUUUCCUAUGUGAGGCCAUUGCUUCUGGCCCCCUCUUUGUUUUCUGUUCCUUUAGCGAGAUCUGGUGAAGGUAAAAUCAGCCAGGAGUUGAAACCUGCCUCUGGAGCUGAUUUUGUGUGAUCCCACUGAGCUGUUUGGCCAUCAGCACCGUAAUUACGUGUAUUCAUCUCUGUCGAUGGGUGGUUCUCUAGGAAGAUCUAUUUUCAGGACCACAUGUUUACACUGCUGAGGGGGAGGAGGUGCAUGAUCAAAGGCCUCUGGCUGAGCAUGGGGCUGGCAGAGCCUCCAGGCUCAUGGGAGAAGAUGGGGGGGGGGCGGUGAGGACAAAGUGGAGAAUGCACUUGGCUAAAGACAGAAGUGGCUACGCUGCUUUUUCAGCAUAAUGGAAAUUGCCCAAAGGUUGGAAAACAAGGGAGCAGCCUGUCCACACAAACAGGUUUAAAGUGUUAGGAACCGAGGACAGAUGCGCCUCACUGCGGCCAAGGAAGGCAGGAAGGGUAGGCAGCUGCUGGCAGCAGGUGCCACAGGAUGGUGGACGGGCCUGGAAGCUUCUCCGUCUUGCGCUCUGGUUGUAGGGGUGGCAGGAGGGGCCUUGUGCACGAGCAGGGUCCCUUCAACUGUGUGACUCUGUUCAGAGCCCAGUGCUGCCUUUUCCAAGGCUAAUCGCUCUGUAGCUUUCCUCAGGCUGCCCUUCGGGGCAUACCCUGAUCAGUCUUCGUAUUAGCAAGGACAAAGCGCCAGCGCAGGGCACACGGGCGCUGCAGGGGCGCUUCCAGUCUUGGCUCAGUGCUGUGACCCGGCCUCUCCGUUCCUCAGGCUGCCUUGUGCAUAAAAUGGAGAAUCGAGUCUAGGAUUGUCGCAACGAACGAGCUGGCACACGUGAAGCACGAGUGACACAAAGCUUAGCUCCUACUGUUGAAUAGCAACUCGGGGCGGGGUGGGGGGGGGAGCUAUUUUAGCCAGGGAGCACUUGUUCCCGCCCAUCUCUUCGUGUUUUUGUCCUUUGAGAUACAGAAGUGGUACCGGUGACUUUCUCUGCCGAAGUUCUGGUUUUGGCUAAAACAAAACCCAACAGGAACAUAACCAGUUCAGGAAGCCGUGGUCUCCUGAGGAUGCCACCCUCAGUCACAGAAAUGAAACAGGCCGACGUGUCCAGAGGAGUGAAACUUUUUGUCUGUUUGGGGUUUUUCUCUUUAUUCCUUUGCCACCUUUAUAUUAGAGCAUUCAGGGUUAUUAUAGGGUUUCAUUAAUGAGCGUAGAGUAGAAAUUCAGGUUUUCUUUGUUAAAGGUUGGCCAGCACAGAACAUGUAACAUGACCUGAGAUUGGGCAAGGAGAGCAGGAGCUGCCUCCUUACAAAGGUUACAUCUAUUUGUGGGUGAAAAGGCCUGGAGGCCUUUCUGCGGUCCUUGAGGACUGCAGCCCUGGGGGCCUGGGCAGGGCCUGGUGUCCACGUGGGCAGCGCCUAACCACCCCCGCCAGCCGCCCCCCCCCAACCCCCGCUCAUGGAGCAUAGAUGGAGAUGGACACAGGCCCUCUUGUUUCCCUAGCUCCUGUCCAUAUUCUCUGUGAAUAUUAAUCCUUUUAUUUCCUUCUUCCCUGAUUUUUAAAAAAAUAUUCAUUCAUGACAGACAUAGAGAGAGGCAGGCUUCAUGCAGGGAGCCUGAUGAGGGACUUGAUCCUGGGACUCCAGGAUCGCACCCAGGGCCAAAGGCAGGCGCUAAACCGCUGAGCCACCUGGGCUGCCCCUUCUUCCCUGAUUCUAAAGAAUACCUUUCUCAGAGCACCUGGGUGGCUCAGUUGGUUAAGUGUCCAAUUCUUGAUUUCGGUUAGGUCAUGAUCUCAGGGUCGUGAGAUCGAGUCCUGUGUUGUGCUCUGCUCUAGGUAGGAGAUU